UUAAGCGACUAAGCGUACACGGUGGAUGCCCUGGCAGUCAGAGGCGAUGAAGGACGUGCUAAUCUGCGAUAAGCGUCGGUGAGGUGAUAUGAACCGUUAUAACCGGCGAUUUCCGAAUGGGGAAACCCAGUGUGUUUCGACACACUAUCAUUAACUGAAUCCAUAGGUUAAUGAGGCGAACCGGGGGAACUGAAACAUCUAAGUACCCCGAGGAAAAGAAAUCAACCGAGAUUCCCCCAGUAGCGGCGAGCGAACGGGGAGGAGCCCAGAGCCUGAAUCAGUGUGUGUGUUAGUGGAAGCGUCUGGAAAGGCGUGCGAUACAGGGUGACAGCCCCGUACACAAAAAUGCACAUAUUGUGAGCUCGAUGAGUAGGGCGGGACACGUGGUAUCCUGUCUGAAUAUGGGGGGACCAUCCUCCAAGGCUAAAUACUCCUGACUGACCGAUAGUGAACCAGUACCGUGAGGGAAAGGCGAAAAGAACCCCGGCGAGGGGAGUGAAAAAGAACCUGAAACCGUGUACGUACAAGCAGUGGGAGCCUCUUAAUGGGGUGACUGCGUACCUUUUGUAUAAUGGGUCAGCGACUUAUAUUCUGUAGCAAGGUUAACCGAAUAGGGGAGCCGAAGGGAAACCGAGUCUUAACUGGGCGUUAAGUUGCAGGGUAUAGACCCGAAACCCGGUGAUCUAGCCAUGGGCAGGUUGAAGGUUGGGUAACACUAACUGGAGGACCGAACCGACUAAUGUUGAAAAAUUAGCGGAUGACUUGUGGCUGGGGGUGAAAGGCCAAUCAAACCGGGAGAUAGCUGGUUCUCCCCGAAAGCUAUUUAGGUAGCGCCUCGUGAAUUCAUCUCCGGGGGUAGAGCACUGUUUCGGCAAGGGGGUCAUCCCGACUUACCAACCCGAUGCAAACUGCGAAUACCGGAGAAUGUUAUCACGGGAGACACACGGCGGGUGCUAACGUCCGUCGUGAAGAGGGAAACAACCCAGACCGCCAGCUAAGGUCCCAAAGUCAUGGUUAAGUGGGAAACGAUGUGGGAAGGCCCAGACAGCCAGGAUGUUGGCUUAGAAGCAGCCAUCAUUUAAAGAAAGCGUAAUAGCUCACUGGUCGAGUCGGCCUGCGCGGAAGAUGUAACGGGGCUAAACCAUGCACCGAAGCUGCGGCAGCGACACUAUGUGUUGUUGGGUAGGGGAGCGUUCUGUAAGCCUGUGAAGGUGGCCUGUGAGGGUUGCUGGAGGUAUCAGAAGUGCGAAUGCUGACAUAAGUAACGAUAAAGCGGGUGAAAAGCCCGCUCGCCGGAAGACCAAGGGUUCCUGUCCAACGUUAAUCGGGGCAGGGUGAGUCGACCCCUAAGGCGAGGCCGAAAGGCGUAGUCGAUGGGAAACAGGUUAAUAUUCCUGUACUUGGUGUUACUGCGAAGGGGGGACGGAGAAGGCUAUGUUGGCCGGGCGACGGUUGUCCCGGUUUAAGCGUGUAGGCUGGUUUUCCAGGCAAAUCCGGAAAACCAAGGCUGAGGCGUGAUGACGAGGCACUACGGUGCUGAAGCGACAAAUGCCCUGCUUCCAGGAAAAGCCUCUAAGCAUCAGGUAACAUCAAAUCGUACCCCAAACCGACACAGGUGGUCAGGUAGAGAAUACCAAGGCGCUUGAGAGAACUCGGGUGAAGGAACUAGGCAAAAUGGUGCCGUAACUUCGGGAGAAGGCACGCUGAUAUGUAGGUGAAGCGACUUGCUCGUGGAGCUGAAAUCAGUCGAAGAUACCAGCUGGCUGCAACUGUUUAUUAAAAACACAGCACUGUGCAAACACGAAAGUGGACGUAUACGGUGUGACGCCUGCCCGGUGCCGGAAGGUUAAUUGAUGGGGUUAGCGGUAACGCGAAGCUCUUGAUCGAAGCCCCGGUAAACGGCGGCCGUAACUAUAACGGUCCUAAGGUAGCGAAAUUCCUUGUCGGGUAAGUUCCGACCUGCACGAAUGGCGUAAUGAUGGCCAGGCUGUCUCCACCCGAGACUCAGUGAAAUUGAACUCGCUGUGAAGAUGCAGUGUACCCGCGGCAAGACGGAAAGACCCCGUGAACCUUUACUAUAGCUUGACACUGAACAUUGAGCCUUGAUGUGUAGGAUAGGUGGGAGGCUUUGAAG
Molecule: ribosomal RNA, 2134 nt
Filed under: human gut metagenome
Description: bacterial LSU rRNA
Rfam family: Bacterial large subunit ribosomal RNA
Source: RNAcentral